ACCUGAGACUACCCUUCUGCGAUCACAGGAUUCCCGGUGGUGACGUGACCCCGGAAGUGGGGUGUGGAGCUCCGGUGCCGGUGCGGCGGGGGACUGCGGCGCCAGCCUCAGUUUAAACCCCCUCAGCAGUCUUUCUGUCGUUGCCCUCCACACUGCGAGACUCUGGAGGGCGAUCUGGAGGUCUGGAAGAUAACCGAUUCCUGGGACAUUUGGGGGUAGUCUCCAAUCUGUCCCUGGCUCAUCUUGUGACCCGAAGCCGGCGGCCUUGCCAGGAAUAUUCUAGAAUGAGUGCACAUAAAAAUACCUUCAAAUGGUAGCAGCAGCAGCAGCAGCAGCAAUGUUUCACUUCUUCAGAAAGCCUCCGGAAUCUAAAAAGCCCUCGGUACCAGAGACAGAAGCAGAUGGAUUCGUCCUUUUAGGACAGAGUUGCCAGCUGUCAUCCUCUCUGGGAGGGUACCGAUGCUCAAAAAAUGGCACUACCUUUCCUCUCAGCAGUAAAGUGCCAGUGUUUCUUUUACAGUUGCCAUGUGC
RNAcentral lists this small RNA (531 nucleotides) under Pongo abelii (Sumatran orangutan). RNAcentral describes it as "processed transcript". The record is from RNAcentral. Lineage: Eukaryota; Metazoa; Chordata; Mammalia; Primates; Hominidae.